Molecule: ribosomal RNA, 253 nt
Filed under: uncultured bacterium
Lineage: Bacteria
Description: partial 16S ribosomal RNA
Rfam family: Bacterial small subunit ribosomal RNA
Source: RNAcentral
UACGUAGGGUGCGAGCGUUAAUCGGAAUUACUGGGCGUAAAGUGUGCGCAGGCGGCCGCGCAAGUCGAGUGUGAAAGCCCCGGGCUUAACUUGGGAAUUGCGCUCGAAACUACGUGGCUGGAGUGUGGCAGAGGAAGGUGGAAUUCCACGUGUAGCGGUGAAAUGCGUAGAGAUGUGGAGGAACACCAAUGGCGAAGGCAGCCUUCUGGGCCAACACUGACGCUCAUGCACGAAAGCGUGGGGAGCAAGCAGG